GCUUUUGGUUUGCCUCAUCCAUUAUGUCAGCAAAGAACAGGAGUGGGCAGGAAACAUGGCCAACCAACUGGAGCACCCACAAGGCUCUUGUGAAGGAAGUCCACAAGCCUUUGUGCUUCAGGAUGGAUGGAAAGAACUCUUUGAUCAACCCCCAAAGAGAGCUGAGGUGGCUAUCUUUUGGAGACACCCCCGGCUGGUAGUGCUGCUGAAACUGGUGGAGGCAACAAUGAAGUGGCAACAGAAAGAGAAGGCAGGUGGCAAAGGUUGCUGCUAUUGAAAAAUACUUUGAGAGUGAGUGUGUGUGCAUGUAUGUAGCUGGGUAGGUCAUGGUACAUGGUACAAAAAUACAGAAUUUAAAGCACUAGCACAACACUUAACUCACAACCCACAACUACUGACAAUGGAAUUACUCUUUUAGAGUGAGUGAGGGAGAGAGAUAGAAUAUUUCUGUAAAUGUUUAAUGUUAAUUUAGACAAAUGUAUUUCUUUGAAUCAUUAUACAGUUUUAAAAUGUUUAUUGUUUGUGUUUUUGUAUAUGAAAGAUGUCGAUUGUUGUAGAUAAAAGUAGCUUGUAUAUUUUAAC
Long non-coding RNA from Alosa sapidissima (American shad), 582 nucleotides. RefSeq lists it as uncharacterized. The record is from RefSeq and is a predicted model, not a curated record. NCBI's taxonomy places the organism in Eukaryota, Metazoa, Chordata, Actinopteri, Clupeiformes, Clupeidae. The transcript has 3 exons.